Long non-coding RNA from Mauremys mutica (yellowpond turtle), 477 nucleotides. RefSeq lists it as uncharacterized. The record is from RefSeq and is a predicted model, not a curated record. The transcript has 4 exons. NCBI's taxonomy places the organism in Eukaryota, Metazoa, Chordata, Testudines, Geoemydidae.
AGCUACCCAAGUUCUGUUUUUAGGUGCCACUGCCAUCCACAAAACUCCUGCAUGGAUGCUGACUUAACCCUGUCAGCACCUAAAUUUACUCCCUGCUUGAAGCUUUGUAAUAAAAGUUUCCAAGGUGCCUAAAUGUGGACCCGGACCUGAGCCUCAGUUCCCUCUCUCUGUGAUGUUGUGAGGAUACUUACAUUAAAAGAUGAUGAGGAAACAACAAAACAAGAAAAAACAAUUGGAGGGAAGUAGAUGCAAGCAUCAGGUACAAUGUGCUGCUCAGGAGUAAAUUUAUAUGUAUCUCAUGGUUGCUUAUCUGUUGUUCCCACUAUUCAGUGGAGAUGGUUGAACAGCAGCAUUCACUGCAGACAAGGAGCUUCCAGAUUCUGUCAGAUACUUGAGGGAGUUAUACAAAUUCUGCAUUACAAGACAUUGUUUCCUACAGUGAUCUGACAUGCCACUGGAGCUUGUAUAAACUGAAAG